AACAUUGUACAAAAAUACCCUUACAAUAUUUCUUGCACUAUUUUUCAGCUGCACCACUGCAACGGUACUGAAUGUACAAUGUGGAACAUACAGUGCUACCAGAAUAAGCCGAUUUCCAAACAAAUGUUUCUGAGCUGGCUCUUUUUCAUGAAUCAAAAACACAUGGAGGCCCGUGAAUACAAAAACGGAUGGUAGUAGAUACUGGACGCCCGGGACGAAGAGAUGCGGCAGUGAAUGGGGUGGCCAGGCUACUGUCCAGAGGUGGCAACAGCCAACCCUGGCUCCACCCCCGGUUGGGAACAAUAUGAUGACGGGAACAAAAAUGACACUGCAGAAUGACCCAGAGGCCUUCAAGUGGCUCUGAAGUGGCUCACAGUGGGCGGUCCAUCUGGUAGGCCACAGCCCGAAACAGCAUUGCUAGCGGUUCCGCACACUGAUGCUGAGCGAGGUCGGUCAGCCGCUCACCUUCGCACAACAGCUCUGUGAAUCCUGCCAGUGGUGGUUGUUGGCUGAGGAGGACCUCCUCAACAUCGUGGAGCUGGAGCUGUUCAUCCCCCGGCUGCCGAAGGGGAUGGCAAAGUGGGUCCAGUGCAAUUGUACGGCAUCGCUGGAGGAGGCAAUCUAGUUGGCAGAGGACCAUAUAGCAGUGUAUUCAGAGGACGGCAAGAUCCCCCCCGAUAAGAGGUCAUUGUACUGUAAAACAUACAACAACAACAACAACGCCUCCACAACAACACGUCAAUGCCUAUUUCACCUUUACUUCCGUAGUCCGCCCAGUAGUGGUGAGAACAGAGAUGGCAAGGAGAGAGAGUGGGUCAGUCAAGAGCAGAGAGCACCUUCGCACAACGGCAAGAUCACCCCCCCCCCCCCCCCGCGCACUUCCAUCCCUUCCCCAUAUCCUGUUCCUGUUCCCGGGAAACAGGGAAUUCCUUCCCCAAAACUCAUCCCCUGGUCCCAUUCAUCCCACUGGCUUCCCCUAACCCUCACCACUCUCCCCAAAGGCUGGUGAAUUCACCGCGGGUGUGGGUACAAAGUCUGGGCCUGUCUGUUGGAGCUGCGGGGGUCCUGGGCAUUUACAGGAACGAUGCCCCAUGAUGAAUAUUGAGAUAUUAGUCUGGGUACCUGACACACCACAGGCCGCCCCAAUCAUGCAGGAGCAUACCGGAUACCUGUGAGUAUAAAUGGGGUACAUAUCAAGCCUUGGUGGAUUCAGGUUGUAAUCAAACCUCUAUUCACCAAAACAUGAUUCAAUCCAAGGCUGUGGAUACAAGCCGCCAGGUGAAGGUAAGGUGUGUGCAUAGGGAUAUUCACGAUUACUCAUUAGUAACAGUCCUCAUUCAAUAUCGGGGACAAAAGCAUAGUGUAGAGGCUGUGGUAAGUCCCCGCCUCACCCAUCUAUUAAUCUUGGGAACGAAUUGGCCGGCAUUUACUGCUUUAUUGAGGGAAAUCUGUGUGGAUGGAUGUCUCAGUGUGUGGUUUCUGAUGCACUGGCUGGGGAGGCAGAGCCGAGGUGUUUAUGUCAGCUCCACCUCAGGAUAACAUAAGGGAGAGGAAAGUGCCAGCUUCCCCAGCCCUUAGAGGAUUCCCUGCAGGGGAUUUCCCUCUGGAGCAAGAAGAGACCCUUAGGGAUGCCUUUGAUCAAGUGAAAGUGAUUGAUGGUCAAUGUCUCCAGCCAGACAUUGCACUCGCUAAUCCAUAUUUUUCAAUUAUCGUUCGUAUCGAGUGACACAGGAUGCUCAGACAAAGGAAAAUACAACCCAAUUGUUAGAACUGAUAAGCUUUGGAAAAUGUUAUUGCAGAAGGCAUAUUUUAAUCCUUGAAUAACAUAAAGUGCGAGUAAGGGCAGCCCGUGGACUUUCUGGUGCCAUCCUAGGGUAAGAUGGUGCCCUCCUAGGGAGUUAGUGCCCUAAGCAGACUGCGUAGUCUGCUUAUAGGGAGCGGUGGUACUGCUUACACUAUGUGAAUUGUAUGAAUUAUUAGGGAUUAAAUCUAUUUGGACCAGCAUUUACCACCCUCAAACAGACGGCUUGGUCGAACAAUAUAAUCAGACAAUAAAGAAUAUGAUUUGUAAUUUUGUGCAAAAAGACGCUCGAAAUUGGUACAAGUUGCUCGAGCCCCUGUUAUUUGCAGUACAAGAGGUCCCGCAAGCCUCCGCGGCUUUCUCCCCAUUUUAAUUAUUGUACGGCCAUUGACCGCUCAGCGUGUUCAUUGUCCUAUGGGAAAAUUGGGAGGAGAGACCUUCAAAGAGCAAAAACAAAAUUCAAUACUUUCUUGACCUGAGAGCAAAACUCCACACACUGGAGCAGUUAACACAGGAGAAUUUGUUCCAGGCUCAAGAACAUCAAAGCCGGCUGUAUAAUAGGGGUACUAGGCUACGGGAAUUUGCCCCAGGAGAUACAAUUUUUGUAUUACUACCCACAUUGAGCUCUAAAUUACUCACCAAGUGGCAAGGACCCUUUGAGGUCACACGGCGGGUUGGGGAAAUCGAUUAUGAGGUGAAACGAACAGAUAGAGGAGGAGCACGUCAAAUUAACCACCUCAAUCUCCUAAAACUGUGGAGAGAGGCGAUUCCCAUGACAGUGACGAUGGUGGUUCCAGAGAGGGAGAAGCUCGGACCGGGGGUGAACUUAAAAGCAACCGAUCGAGUCACCCCAGUCAAUUGCUGAGACCACCUCUCACCAUCACAAGAAAAUUCUUCGACGUGUUCUCACCUCUUCCUUGUCGUACGAAUCUCAUAGAGCACUAUAUCAAAACGACCCCAGGGGUAGUGGUAUGCAGUUGUCCCUACCAAAGAAUUAAAGGCCAUGCUAGAUAUGGUGAUAAAAGAAGUUGCCCACAUUGACUGGGCAAGCUUGGUUGUGUUGUGAUGGCUCGGUCCGAUUCUGUGUGGAUUAUAGAAAAGUCAAUGCAGUGUCUAAAUUUGAUGAAUAUCCAAUGCCUCUUAUUGAUGAACUGCUUGAUCGUUUAGGCGUGGCUCGCUUUUAUUUUCACUAGAUUUGACAAUGGGUAUUGGCAGAUCCCCUUAACUCCCAUGCACCAUGAAAAAAACAGCAUUUUACACACCGUUCAGCUUACAUCAAUUUAUCACCCUUCCUUUCGGUUGGUUUGGGGCCCCGGCUAUGUUUCAGCAGCUCAUACCCCCAUUGCCCUACUGAGGCCAGUGAGCCAUCCGGCCUGCCACCUGGAAGUGUGCAAUAGGACGGAUGGAAGUAAGGUAUCUGGGCUUCCACUUGGGUCAUGGACAGGAGUAGCUGCAAAUUGAUAAGACUGUGGCAAUUGUAGCCUGCCCAAGACCAAAGACCAAAAAGGAGGUGAGACAGUACCUGGGGCUGGCUGGCUAUUAUUGGAGGUUUGUGCCUAAUUAUUCUGAUGUCACCAGCCCGCUGACUGAUGACGGAGCUGUGCCAACAGGCUUUCUUCGAACUGGAGAGUUUAACUUACAAUUAAAAGCCGCACUCUGUGGCGGCCCACAGUUACAUUCCCCUUACUUUUCUCUCCCUUUUGUUUUACAGACGGUUCCCCAGCCUGAGUCGCGGGGUAGGGGAGGUGAGGCAGAGACAUGGCCGAGCACCAUGCUGUGGAGAGUGAAGCAGGAGAGAUGAGUGGAGAAUGAUUUCCACCUGUGGUUAACACCUGUCAUGUGUUUCACUGAAGAGUGAUUUGGGCUUUGAAGAAGUGGGGCAGUGGUGGUGCAACUUUUGAGUGUUUGAAUUAAAGUUUAAGCGUUUUAAGCAAACACGUUUAUUUUUGUAAAUAAAAGAGUGACAUUCCUGAGUUGGAAUCGCCGUCUCCAGCUUCCUCAUUCCUGAACCUUAUUACAGUUAUGUUUUUUUUUUUUGUUUUACAUAUUUGAUCAUAAUAUAUAAUUACAAAAUGUAAAGGUUUUAAUUUUUUUUAUGUGAACCAAACAUUUGACCCUGUUUGGUUUUUUGUAGAGCUAAAUUAUAUUACAUUUCAAAUUUAUUUCUUAUAUCUGUUCUGUUAAAAUUAUCUCAUCAGGACAGUUGAAUUGCAUUUAUUUUUAUAGAUAUUUACUCCUCAAUAUAACUAAAAGACUCGUUAGUGGAAUUAUUUAGGAACCAGAAUCGUUAAGUGAAUUGGGAAUGGGAACCAAAAUCUUUAAAUAUCUUACUAUUCCCAUCCCUAAAUGCAUCAAAAAGGGUUCGAAAAACUUUCACAGUUCUCAACCAUGCACAAGGACAACUUGAAAAGUUGUAAACAUACACCUGCCAAUGGUGUCCUUCCAAAAAGGGAGGCACAUCAAAUAAUCAUUGGUAUGUCGCCCAACUGAAUCUAAACAUGCCAAAUGCUUCUAAACAGACAGAAGGUUCACAUUUUCGUUCCAACAAGUUAAGAAAUGGAAUGUCCUUCAAUGCUUAAAACACAGUGAACUUUAGUUCUCAGAAACCAAAACAGUACUUCUGUAGGAGGAUCUGUAUAAACCUUUAACAAAUAGACUUUAAUGAUCUGUAGUGGUGCCAAAUAACAGAUAACCACAGCAUGUUCUGACAGAACACGCCUCUUUAAGACUGGUGAAUCUGGUUUUGUUCUUUUGAAAGCAUAUUUAAUUAUAAACAGUAUGUCUUGUGCUUAAGAAUUCUGUUGUUCUUUACAUCUCCACCCCCCAUUAUUAAACUUUUUAAACAUCUCACACUAUCUAACAGUAAACGCCCUGCUACGGAAAGAGUAAAUGCUGUAUUGGGUUUUGUUUGAUCUUGUGCCUGGGUGUGGACCAUAGUUGCAAAUUCUGCUUAUGAUAAGAGACUUAGGACUUGUUUUGUUUUUUUCUCCAGAAAGUCAUUUGUAAAUAUGGGUUAUUUCCAGUAUUCAGUCUGCAUUUGUAUCAGGCGUGUCAAUCAUAUGGCUAGUGGAAGAGUCCAAACCUGGUCCAAAUUAACAUGCAUUCAUACUUUAUAAGUGUAAUACAAAUUAUGCAUUCAUUGAAUAGAUUAAAUGAUCUAAUUUUUAAAUAUGACAGUACGGCAGCAUUUAAAACUGUACUGAUCAGUACACUAGCAUCCAGCAUAUUAAUUAACACAAGGGAAAUAUGUGUUGCAUAUCCCUCUUCGUUCUGCUUUUGUGUCUUCUUUUUUUAUUAAAAUAUACCUGAAUUUCUUGGAAAACACUUGUCUCUUUCACAGAGCUAUACAUCUCACGUCUCCACCACAAGUUGUGGACACCUUUAAAAACUUCUACUCCCUGACACUACAAAAUCGCUUUUAGGCUUGGAUUAGGACAUGUUGACAACCAGAAUUCUGAGUUUCACAUUUAUUCAUGAUGAUUUAGCUCUGUGUACUUGAGAGAUAAUGCACUGUAAGUAAAUCACUCAGUGUGGGGGUAAAGCACUUACAGAAUAUACACUGAUAUUUGUAACGGUUGUGACUUUUUCCCACUCUGAAGGCAUUUCUGGGGGCGUUUAGUGUACGAAUCAACAUCAUUGCAUCUGGGAAAGUUUGGAAGUGCUCAAGGGCACAAGCUGCCACAGACAUUCAAAUUAUUGGUACUCUGAGCUCUUCAUUUACUUCCUAAUCUGGCCUGUUAGACCUCAAAGCCGGGCUAAUUACCUCAACAUAAGAAAGAGGAAGAUCUG
This is a long non-coding RNA of Xyrauchen texanus (razorback sucker), 5590 nucleotides long. RefSeq lists it as uncharacterized. NCBI's taxonomy places the organism in Eukaryota, Metazoa, Chordata, Actinopteri, Cypriniformes, Catostomidae. The record is from RefSeq and is a predicted model, not a curated record. The transcript has 3 exons.